UGCUUGGCCUGUUCCGUGGUGGGUAC
RNAcentral lists this non-coding RNA (26 nucleotides) under Mus musculus (house mouse). Lineage: Eukaryota; Metazoa; Chordata; Mammalia; Rodentia; Muridae. The record is from RNAcentral.